RNAcentral lists this ribosomal RNA (256 nucleotides) under uncultured bacterium. RNAcentral's name for it is "partial 16S ribosomal RNA". It matches the Rfam family "Bacterial small subunit ribosomal RNA", at positions 521 to 776 of the family's 1533-position model. The record is from RNAcentral.
UAAUACGGAGGGUGCAAGCGUUAUCCGGAUUUACUGGGUUUAAAGGGUGCGUAGGCGGACUUUUAAGUCAAAUGUGAAAGCUUGCAGCUUAACUGUAAGAUUGCGUUUGAUACUGGGAGUCUUGAAUAUGGUAGAAGUUGGCGGAAUAAAUCAUGUAGCGGUGAAAUGCUUAGAUAUGAUUUAGAACACCGAUUGCGAAGGCAGCUAGCUAUGUCAUAAUUGACGCUGAGGCACGAAAGCGUGGGGAUCAAACAGG